GACGAGCCACACAAACGUUAUUCGGAAUUACUGGGCUUAAAGGGUGCGUAGGCGGCGCGGAAAGUUGGGUGUGAAAGCCCUCGGCUCAACCGAGGAAUUGCGCCCAAAACUACCGUGCUUGAGGAAGAUAGAGGUGAGCGGAACUCAGGGUGGAGCGGUGAAAUGCGUUGAUAUCCUGAGGAACACCGGUGGCGAAAGCGGCUCACUGGAUCUUUUCUGACGAUGAGGCACGAAAGCUAGGGUAGCGAACGGG
This 253-nucleotide ribosomal RNA is filed under the name uncultured bacterium. RNAcentral's name for it is "partial 16S ribosomal RNA". It matches the Rfam family "Bacterial small subunit ribosomal RNA", at positions 524 to 776 of the family's 1533-position model. The record is from RNAcentral.